GGGGGUAUGGCGGAAUUGGUAGACGCUACGGACUUGAAAAUCCGUUGGCUUUAUUAAACCGUGAGGGUUCAAGUCCCUCUACCCCCA
RNAcentral lists this transfer RNA (87 nucleotides) under Octoblepharum albidum. RNAcentral describes it as "tRNA-Leu". It matches the Rfam family "tRNA". Rfam says of the family: Transfer RNA (tRNA) molecules are approximately 80 nucleotides in length. Lineage: Eukaryota; Viridiplantae; Streptophyta; Bryopsida; Dicranales; Calymperaceae. The record is from RNAcentral. RNAcentral also lists the same sequence under 2 other names.